CCCACCAGCCUGUCCUUGUGUAGUAGAAGCAUUACUUCCAUGUCGGCUUCAGAAGGGCAAAGAUUCCUUUCCUCCUGAAAACAGUCAGCUGACCAAUAGGAAACCCUUCAUUGUCGAGGCGUCUCAUGUAGUACUGACGUCCUCGGAAGUUGGGUUCCUCGUAGAACAUCCAGUGGCCAUCAAACACAUUGCAGGAGUGAAUGUCAUGGAAACGAAAUCGAUCAUAAGUAUUGGGGCAGUCAUCAAAGAACUCCAUCAUCUGCCCUUGGUAAUACUGAUGUCCCCUGUAACUAGGGUGCUCAUAGAGGAUCCAGUUUCCACCCUCUAUCCUGAUGGAGUUACAGCGAUUGAAGUAUGAGGACAGAUCAGAACAGUCUGAGCCACACUCAUAGUGGCGACCUUGGAAAUUCCUUUCCUCGUAAAAGAAGAUCUAAAGAAAGACGUUGUAGGUUAAAAGCUUAUGUUUUGUACAUCUGGAACUGAAUAUAUGAUAUGAUAUUAUUUACACUUAUCUAUGCCAACAUUAUUACACGAUGCUGUACAACAGAUUUGAAAACACAUAAAUUCAGCUUUGAGAACAGUAAGAAGAUAAACCCUGUAAACAGACACAUUGAAUGUAUUUUAUGAAUAUGCAGAAUAUCUAGUAUUUUGUUGGAUAGAACAAUGUUACUUUAAGAGAAACAACCACCCGCUGAUUCUUUUUAAAAUUGGGUAUAUAUUCUGUUUAAGUUGGAUCUGGACCCCUAAAUUAACAAAAUGUAGUUUAUUAGAUGUGCUUUUUUUUACUGAUACAGUAAUUAGAAAUUAUCAGAAUUAUCAAGAUAUUUUUAUGGUUUUGACUUACCUUUCCCAUUGUGAAUGGAUAGCAGUUUCAGUACCACUGAAGUGAGAGAAGAGACAGCCUAUAUAUAUGCCCUGUAUUGCUGCCGUCUGCAUCUGCUCAGUCUGGAACAUAUAUUUUUGACCGGUAAGUAAAAUGUACAGAUCUUU
Xenopus laevis (African clawed frog) is the source of this 990-nucleotide long non-coding RNA. RefSeq lists it as uncharacterized. Lineage: Eukaryota; Metazoa; Chordata; Amphibia; Anura; Pipidae. The transcript is spliced from 3 exons. The record is from RefSeq and is a predicted model, not a curated record.